GUUUAGCCCUGAUUGAAAUGGCAUCCUUUUUAUUACUAAAGGGACGAAGCAAUCUGUUUUAAUUAUGAGAUUGCCACAGUUUACAAAAAAGUAAACUUCGCAAUGACAAAUAAAAAGAUAUAGUGGAAAGCAGGAAAUAGC
RNAcentral lists this small RNA (141 nucleotides) under Polaribacter sp. SA4-12. RNAcentral describes it as "Flavo-1 RNA". It matches the Rfam family "Flavo-1 RNA". The record is from Rfam by way of RNAcentral. Lineage: Bacteria; Pseudomonadati; Bacteroidota; Flavobacteriia; Flavobacteriales; Flavobacteriaceae.